GAUGAAGAACGUAGCGAAAUGCGAUAAGUAGUGUGAAUUGCAGAAUUCAGUGAAUCAUCGAGUCUUUGAACGCACAUUGCGCCCCCUGGUAUUCCGGGGGGCAUGCCUGUCCGAGCGUCAUUGCUGCCCUCAAGCACGGCUUGUGUGUUGGGCCUCCGUCCUCCUCCCGGGGGACGGGCCCGAAAGGCAGCGGCGGCACCGCGUCCGGUCCUCGAGCGUAUGGGGCUUCGUCACCCGCUCUUGUAGGCCCGGCCGGCGCUUGCCGACACAUCAAUCUUUUUUCCAGGUUGACCUCGGAUCAGGUAGGGAUACCCGCUGAACUUAAGCAUAUCAAUAAGCGGGGA
Molecule: unclassified non-coding RNA, 344 nt
Filed under: soil metagenome
Description: partial contains 5.8S ribosomal RNA, internal transcribed spacer 2, and large subunit ribosomal RNA
Rfam family: 5.8S ribosomal RNA (bases 1-120)
Source: RNAcentral